This 429-nucleotide ribosomal RNA is filed under the name Chloroflexota bacterium. Its description in RNAcentral is "Chloroflexi bacterium partial 16S ribosomal RNA". It matches the Rfam family "Bacterial small subunit ribosomal RNA", at positions 355 to 776 of the family's 1533-position model. The record is from RNAcentral. Lineage: Bacteria; Bacillati; Chloroflexota.
UGGGGAAUAUUGCACAAUGGGCGCAAGCCUGAUGCAGCCAUGCCGCGUGUGUGAAGAAGGCCUUCGGGUUGUAAAGCACUUUCAGCGGGGAGGAAGGCGAUAAGGUUAAUAACCUCAUCGAUUGACGUUACCCGCAGAAGAAGCACCGGCUAACUCCGUGCCAGCAGCCGCGGUAAUACGGAGGGUGCAAGCGUUAAUCGGAAUUACUGGGAGUAAAGCGCACGCAGGCGGUCUGUCAAGUCGGAUGUGAAAUCCCCGGGCGCAACCUGGGAACUGCAUUCGAAACUGGCAGGCUAGAGUCUUGUAGAGGGGGGUAGAAUUCCAGGUGUAGCGGUGAAAUGCGUAGAGAUCUGGAGGAAUACCGGUGGCGAAGGCGGCCCCCUGGACAAAGACUGACGCUCAGGUGCGAAAGCGUGGGGAGCAAACAGG